Molecule: long non-coding RNA, 721 nt
Organism: Xiphophorus hellerii (green swordtail)
Lineage: Eukaryota; Metazoa; Chordata; Actinopteri; Cyprinodontiformes; Poeciliidae
Exons: 3
Source: RefSeq, a predicted model, not a curated record
AAAACAUAAAACUGACUCGAGGAAGAGUUCAGAAAUCAAUAUUUGGUGGAAUAACCAGCAGGUUUUCACUGGGGUUCAGUGCAGUGGAGUCUCUUAAUGUUCUCCAGAGCUGCAUGUACAUACAAACCCUCUGAACUAAACCAGGCUGAUGCUACACUGACUCAUGAAAACCUCUUCCGUUGUGCAGCCUCUGCUCUUGUUCCCAAUCCUUAGCUUCCUGUUGCCAUUUCACACUUGUGAGUUGGCUGUCAAGGGCCAUCAGUGCGCCCUGGCAGCCCUGCUGUCACUCUGCCAGACGUGUCUACAUCGCCGUCCAACAGCCUACUCUGGGACAUUUGCAUAAGCAUUUCCGCAAACUUUGAAAACUUGCGGCUGUUUAUUAAAGCCGCGUCUUCGGGAGACAAAUUUCUUUCUUGCUGUGUUUCGUCAAAUGCUAAACGUCAAGCAAAUGAAAUCUAGAACUAUCUAAAACCUUUAAAGCAACAUUUGUAUUAAAUAUGCAUGCAAUGUUGCGAGUACUUCAACUCACAGACACACCUAUACACCAUAAUUAAUCCUGGCAAUGCUUUUACAGUAAUGACACUUUUCUGUUCUGCCUGGUUCUCUCAACUUUUGCUCCAAACUGAAUAAUGCACACAUGUCCAACUUUGUAUCUCCUGCUAUAGCAACGUGCGAUAGCGAUAAAGGUUGUAUGUUUGACUGCACCAGUCGUUCUGUGCGA